Molecule: ribosomal RNA, 430 nt
Filed under: uncultured prokaryote
Also listed under: 1 other name
Description: bacterial SSU rRNA
Rfam family: Bacterial small subunit ribosomal RNA
Source: RNAcentral
UGGGGAAUAUUGCGCAAUGGGGGAAACCCUGACGCAGCGACGCCGCGUGAGCGAAGAAGGCCUUAGGGUUGUAAAGCUCUGUUUUAAGGGACGAAGAUUACGGGGAGUAAUAUGCCCUGUAAAUGACGGUACCUUAAGAGGAAGCCCCGGCUAACUACGUGCCAGCAGCCGCGGUAAGACGUAGGGGGCGAGCGUUGUCCGGAAUUACUGGGCGUAAAGAGCACGUAGGCGGGAAUUUAAGUCAGAUGUGAAAGACCGGGGCUCAACUCCGGGGUUGCAUUUGAAACUGAAUUUCUUGAGGGCAGGAGAGGAAAGCAGAAUUCCUGGUGUAGCGGUGAAAUGCGUAGAAAUCAGGAGGAAUACCAGUGGCGAAGGCGGCUUUCUGGACUGACCCUGACGCUGAGGUGCGAAAGCGUGGGUAGCAAACAGG